This 253-nucleotide ribosomal RNA is filed under the name uncultured bacterium. RNAcentral's name for it is "partial 16S ribosomal RNA". It matches the Rfam family "Bacterial small subunit ribosomal RNA", at positions 524 to 776 of the family's 1533-position model. The record is from RNAcentral.
UACGUAGGGGGCAAGCGUUGUCCGGAUUUAUUGGGCGUAAAGCGCGUGUAGGCGGCCUGCUAAGUCUGAUGUGAAAGCCCGAGGCUCACCCUCGGAAGUGCAUUGGAAACUGGCAGACUGGAGUCCCGGAGAGGAGGGUGGAAUUCCUGGUGUAGCGGUGAAAUGCGUAGAUAUCAGGAGGAACACCGGUGGCGAAGGCGGCCCUCUGGACGGUGACUGACGCUGAGACGCGAAAGCGUGGGGAGCAAACAGG